Molecule: ribosomal RNA, 157 nt
Filed under: Fusarium lateritium
Lineage: Eukaryota; Fungi; Ascomycota; Sordariomycetes; Hypocreales; Nectriaceae
Description: 5.8S ribosomal RNA
Rfam family: 5.8S ribosomal RNA (bases 1-132)
About the family: 5.8S ribosomal RNA (5.8S rRNA) is a component of the large subunit of the eukaryotic ribosome.
Source: RNAcentral
GGUUCUGGCAUCGAUGAAGAACGCAGCAAAAUGCGAUAAGUAAUGUGAAUUGCAGAAUUCAGUGAAUCAUCGAAUCUUUGAACGCACAUUGCGCCCGCCAGUAUUCUGGCGGGCAUGCCUGUUCGAGCGUCAUUUCAACCCUCAAACCCCCGGGUUU